UUUGCUAUUUUCUGAAUUAAAAUACAUCCUGGAUUUGUUAUUUCAGAAAAUACUAAUUUCUGCUUCUACAAUAUUCAACCAAAAUUCUCUGCGACCUAUAUCACAUAUUUCUAACCAAUUUUAAUAUCUUAAUCGAAUCAAUUUAAAAAUAUCAACACCAACAUUUUUGACAUAUAGUUUGGAAAGAAAAACAAAUCUGUACUCUAUUAGUUUACUGCUUUUUCUUUUAUAUUGUCUCCGUUUAACUUCUUGGAUAAGAUUAAUUCAUUGAGCCACUAAGUGCCUGUCUAUAUGUGUAUAGUAUUUUCCUAAGCACCAUGGAGGACUAAUUAGAAAACAACAUUCCUGGCAUUUGAUGCCUACAAUCAGUUUGUACGAAAUAAAUUCCUCUACAAACAAAUAUAGUGGAAUACAGAAGAGAGAAAGACUGGAAGAAAAGAGAUCACGUGCUUGGGGGAAGCAUCUGUAAAGCUCUAAAGAAUCUCAAACAGCCUUAUCCAGGGUCCAUGUCACAGGGAAUUGGGACCCUGUGAAGAACCAGCACUUACUGCCAGAUAUGGGAGUGAAAAGUUUUGGAAAUGGAUCUCUAGAUGCAAUCAAUCCUUCAGAUGAGUAAAACCCCAGCUGACAUCUUGAGCACAUUAGCUGGCAUAACUAUCCAGCUAAGCCACUGCUAGACUCCUGAUCCAAAGAAAUAAUGUAAUAAAUGUUUAUUGUUUUAAGCCACUAAUUUGCACUAAAGUUUUUUUGCAACAGUAGAUAACUAAUGUAGCUAUAAAGUGAGUCCAUUAGUCUAGUGCAAUUUUAUGUGUAAUCCUUUAUAUAAAUCAAAGUGUAAAUCCUCAGUAAAAGGUGCUGAGUAGAACCCUGUAAGGAGGAAAGAAAUCCAAUCCCAUAAUAUGUAUUGAUUACAAUCACUGUUUUUCUGAAGCAGUCAAAUGACCAUCCCUUAAAGGAUGGUGCUAUAUUGAGAAUUCACCGUAGGUUUCUCUUGAUGGCUGUUAGACAUUUGACAGCAGCAAUAGCUAAGCCAGCCUUGGAGACCUUGCUACUGGGCCAAUGUAUAGUAUAGCAUUCAUUCCUGCUAUCAUGGCUACUCCUUUCUUGUACCCAUUGUGCCAGCAAUGUGGUGACCAAUGAAAGAAACUAGCUGAUGUCAGCUGGCCAGGUCAUGUUGCUUACUUAUGAAUUUAGCCCCUGCUCUGUAGUCAGGUGAAAGGUACCCCUUUAGUUUGAAGGAGAUGUCCUAGCAGGUCCCAUACUACUGGGCCCCUAGAAAAAUCCACCGUUGUGGUAAACCCUGGAAUCUUCAUAGAGUUUAACUUCUAUCCUAAGAUAGAAGUUUUACCAAGACCUCUAGCACACUUGCCAUUUUUUCCUCAUUUAGUCUGAUUGACCUGAUAUAUUUAUAUAUUAGACAAAUGUGAUGUUCAUAGAAAUAGACAGACAGACCAGAUACUUUCGGGCUAUAUUUUGACUCAUGUUAUGGCCCAGUAUAUGGUCCAUCCUGGUGUAAAUUUUAUGUACACCUGAAAAGAACAUGCGUUUUACAAUUAUUUG
RNAcentral lists this long non-coding RNA (1560 nucleotides) under Equus caballus (horse). RNAcentral describes it as "lncRNA (ENSECAG00000048280.1)". Lineage: Eukaryota; Metazoa; Chordata; Mammalia; Perissodactyla; Equidae. The record is from RNAcentral.